GAAUGGGGCCAGCCGGCAUCGAAAACUGCUAAUUAUCGCCCCCUCGGUUGAACUCCGGGGCCCUUUCG
RNAcentral lists this transfer RNA (68 nucleotides) under Callionymus maculatus (spotted dragonet). RNAcentral's name for it is "tRNA-Ser". Lineage: Eukaryota; Metazoa; Chordata; Actinopteri; Syngnathiformes; Callionymidae. The record is from RNAcentral.